UCAAGUCUGGUGCUUACCAUAGACUGUGUUCUCACACUGACUGUAUAGAAAGAGGAGGGAUAAUAAACCCAUCCCAUGUAUACCUCAGCCCAGACCCUGGGCCCCUCAUCUGUAAUGUGAAUGGGAAGACAACA
This 134-nucleotide small nucleolar RNA is filed under the name Castor canadensis (American beaver). RNAcentral describes it as "Small nucleolar RNA SNORA51 (ENSCCNG00000021417.1)". It matches the Rfam family "Small nucleolar RNA SNORA51". From Rfam's summary of the family: ACA51 is a member of the H/ACA class of snoRNA that guide the sites of modification of uridines to pseudouridines. The record is from Rfam by way of RNAcentral. Lineage: Eukaryota; Metazoa; Chordata; Mammalia; Rodentia; Castoridae.